AAACUGUAAACAACAAUAAUGUUCAGCAAAGUAAGAUUUACAAAUAAGUCAACAUGACCGAAAUGGUCAAUUGACCCCCUUAUGAGUUAUUGUUCUUUAUAGUCAAUUUUUAACAAUUUUCAUAAAAUUUGUAAAUUUUUACUAACAUUUUCCACUGAAACUAAUGGGCCAAGUUCAUUAUAGAUAGAGAUAAUUUUAAGCAGCAAGAAUGUUCAGUAAAGUAAGAUGUACAAACACAUCACCAUCACCAAAACACAAUUUUGUCAUGAAUCCAUCUGCUUCCUUUAAUAUUCACAUAGACCAAGGUGAGCGACACAGGCUCUUUAGAGCCUCUAGUUUUAAUUUGUU
Molecule: long non-coding RNA, 348 nt
Filed under: Mytilus galloprovincialis (Mediterranean mussel)
Lineage: Eukaryota; Metazoa; Mollusca; Bivalvia; Mytilida; Mytilidae
Source: RNAcentral